This 453-nucleotide ribosomal RNA is filed under the name Streptococcus mitis. RNAcentral's name for it is "bacterial SSU rRNA". It matches the Rfam family "Bacterial small subunit ribosomal RNA", at positions 28 to 467 of the family's 1533-position model. The record is from RNAcentral. Lineage: Bacteria; Bacillati; Bacillota; Bacilli; Lactobacillales; Streptococcaceae.
GACGAACGCUGGCGGCGUGCCUAAUACAUGCAAGUAGAACGCUGAAGGAGGAGCUUGCUUCUCUGGAUGAGUUGCGAACGGGUGAGUAACGCGUAGGUAACCUGCCUGGUAGCGGGGGAUAACUAUUGGAAACGAUAGCUAAUACCGCAUAAGAGUAGAUGUUGCAUGACAUUUACUUAAAAGGUGCAAUUGCAUCACUACCAGAUGGACCUGCGUUGUAUUAGCUAGUUGGUGGGGUAACGGCUCACCAAGGCGACGAUACAUAGCCGACCUGAGAGGGUGAUCGGCCACACUGGGACUGAGACACGGCCCAGACUCCUACGGGAGGCAGCAGUAGGGAAUCUUCGGCAAUGGACGGAAGUCUGACCGAGCAACGCCGCGUGAGUGAAGAAGGUUUUCGGAUCGUAAAGCUCUGUUGUAAGAGAAGAACGAGUGUGAGAGUGGAAAGUUCAC